This 400-nucleotide ribosomal RNA is filed under the name uncultured bacterium. RNAcentral's name for it is "bacterial SSU rRNA". It matches the Rfam family "Bacterial small subunit ribosomal RNA", at positions 43 to 487 of the family's 1533-position model. The record is from RNAcentral.
CAGGCCUAACACAUGCAAGUCGAACGAGAUCCUUCGGGGUUUAGUGGCGCACGGGUGCGUAACGCGUGGGAAUCUGCCCUUUGGUUAGGAAUAACAGCUGGAAACGGCUGCUAAUACCGGAUGAUGACGAAAGUCCAAAGAUUUAUCGCCAGAGGAUGAGCCCGCGUUGGAUUAGGUAGUUGGUGGGGUAAAGGCCUACCAAGCCGACGAUCCAUAGCUGGUAUGAGAGGAUGAUCAGCCACACUGGGACUGAGACACGGCCCAGACUCCUACGGGAGGCAGCAGUGGGGAAUAUUGGACAAUGGGCGAAAGCCUGAUCAAGCAAUGCCGCGUGAGUGAUGAAGGCCCUAGGGUUGUAAAGCUCUUUUACCCGGGAAGAUAAUGACUGUACCGGGAGAAU